This 241-nucleotide unclassified non-coding RNA is filed under the name uncultured fungus. RNAcentral describes it as "partial contains 5.8S ribosomal RNA, internal transcribed spacer 2, and large subunit ribosomal RNA". The record is from RNAcentral. Lineage: Eukaryota; Fungi.
AACGCACAUUGCGCCCUCUGGUAUUCUGGGGGGCAUGCCUGUUCGAGCGUCAUUACAAUCCUCAAGCUUGGCUUGGUAUUGGGUGCCGUCCCCCGGGGCGCGCCUGGAAAGCAGCGGCGGUGCGGCCGGUGAUCGAGCGUAGUAACUACUCCCGCUUCGAGCCACCCGGGCGUUCCAGCCGGACAACAUCUAUUUUUCAAUGGUUGACCUCGGAUCAGGUAGGGAUACCCGCUGAACUUAA